GGAUAGGUUGCGCUGUGUACUACAUCAACACGGAGAGUCCUUCAAAAUCAACUGAGAAUAAAUUGAGCUAGGAACAAGUUACAAUGACAUGAAGGAAAUUAAAAGGACACGAAGAUAAAGAACUCUGAGAGAGUGGAGAAAAUGGGAGGGAAUCUAAGCCAGGCUAUGCAUGUAUCUAAUAAUUCCAAACAGUACCUUUGGAGUUCGAGUCUGGAUGGCAGCCAAGGUCUCCAAACCCUGAAACAAAACUUUAGACAAGAGAGGACAGCAUCAAAAGAAGUAAUGGGCUGAUGUUGAAAAAAAUAACAGCCUCCCACAGACCUGGGAUUAUAGGUAUAGGAAGUGCUGAAGUCGGCCGUCUUGGAAAUGGACGCUGGAUCUGCUUAAGUGCUCUCUUUGGACACCUGGAAAGACUGGCAAGGAGAACAAGGGGCCAGGCUGCAAAACAAGCCAAGCGCUGGGAAUACCCAAGAAUGCGGAGGCAUACGAGCAUGCUCACGCUGAAGAUAAUAAUUAAGCUCAUCUGCAUUGUCUUUCACUGUCUUUGGGAAUUUAUGAAAUGAGACAGAAGAACGGGCCUCCAAAAAGCUCUUUUUAAAAAGUGAUAUGAUGGUUAUGUCUCGUGAAUUUAAAUAAAGCUGCCAACAUUCCUGCCCCCACGUGGCCUUCUCAGCUCACACUGUCACUUACUUGCAGUUUCUGGAGCUGGUCGAGGUGGAGCUGCACAGGCAAAACCACUCCACUAUAGGAAUUUAAAUCAUGUGCACUGUUACACAAUAGAAAAAGGUCCAGUUUCUGUCUCAGGGUCUUGCCGGAUAAACAUUGUACAAAAAAGAUUAGGAACUGUGAAAAGUUUUGAUUCUCUAUACCAUG
RNAcentral lists this long non-coding RNA (873 nucleotides) under Fukomys damarensis (Damara mole-rat). Its description in RNAcentral is "lncRNA (ENSFDAG00000030361.1)". Lineage: Eukaryota; Metazoa; Chordata; Mammalia; Rodentia; Bathyergidae. The record is from RNAcentral.